UUGUAUGAAGUUUUAUACAUUCACAAUUAUGUAAUCUGUGAAUCCAUAUACUUACUUAGAGCUUAGAGAUAUCAUUCUAAUCUCUCAGUUGAAGGAAACUUAGAUUCCUUUUGCUCCAUCAUCAUGAACUGAAAACCUCUGAUGCCAAUGACCUUAUUAGCCUCUGAGGGUGUCUGCUGAACAAUUCUCUUUAGAAGUCUUGCUCACGUUUUGGGCCGAGUUGACUCAGUUUGUGACAGCUUCCAGAAGCCUGAAGGUGACACCUCAUCUCAGGUGACUAUCCCUGAGUGUUCUGUGUAGAACCCAAAACUGUAUGAUGUGAUCUGCCAGGGUUAUUUAUAGCAAAUACAAUGAUUUCUGAAAAGUCAGAGUGAAUAAGAACUGAAUGGGACGGUUACCUGGGGAACCAUAAUAACCGUUUCUGAGAUGGGUUUUUAAAUACAAGUAGUUUCCCCCCCACCCCCCAACAUAUGUGCUUUGUCGGUGAAAUAUUUUUUUAAAAAAACAGAAGACACGUUUAUCAGUGAUCAUUUUUAAUGAUUUUGAGCUGUGGUUCAAACACAGCAUUAAGAACAAGCAGAAGAGGCUGAUUUCAUAACACACAGCACUUAGAGCAACAUCUUCCUUUAAAAGUCCGGAUUGCGGUUACAGACCUUGGGUCUAAGAACUACAUCCCCUCGCUCAGUUAAAGAGGCAGAUACAUGACAGCUGGAAAUCUUUCUCUGUGUAUAACUGGGAAUUAUGUUGAACAGUAAGCACAAAUGUCUGUUUGAAAAAGAGACUUUAACAACUUGAGAUUAUUAUAGAUCAUGUGAACAACUAUUGAAAAGUUCAGAUACAGUUGUACUUUUUCAUUAUAAAGCAGCCUAAUGAAAAUUAAGUGAAUUAAAUGCUGUGAAUAGUAUUGUACAUAUUUUAAAAUAGCGUUUACAUCAGAAAGUGUGAUUUUUGAAAGCCGUGAAAUGAAGAAUAGCAAUAUACCAGCAAGCACAUUAAGAUGAACCAGUAUAAUUAACAGUAAAGUUUAAGCCUCUAGUAGUCCUGUAGAAAAGCCAUGACAUGGUAACAAAUUUAGUGCCUCUGAGUCUAGAACAUCCUCAGAUGACACUCCUGCUCAGCAGUCCUCCCAAGAGGUGAAGCCUGGGGAAGUUUUUCUGACAGGGAGGAGCCUCCACCCUUGACCUGAACCACCAGGGCCACUGCCAUUGGCAGUGAGCAGACAGCGGGGGCAAUGGGCGCAGAAAACACAGAUCCCCAUCUUCUUGUGGGCCUUGGAAAGCACAGUCAAAGAAGGGCUGACCUCUGGUCCAAUAGCAUCAAGAGCUGCAGAGGUGUUUUCAGUUUAAGGAUAAUCAGUAAUUAUUUUGUGGAGGACAAGCUCCAUCGUGAUUUUCAAAAUCAAAGCAUACACCACGGAACAAAUAAAAAACAAGGAAUUAUUAGAAUUUACAUCCUCCGAUGACAGAAUAAACUGGAAAUAUGGAUCAGGUGGACAGAAUUUCACGAAACUGUGGACGGCACUGGGAAGGAUGCCCACACCACGAUUUCAUCCAUGGUUUUAAUGAAUGUUGUCAUAGGCUCUUCUUUUUUCUUUUUUCAAUAUUAGAAUAUUUGAAGAUAAAUGCAGAGGUCACCAUCAGACACUAAAGAGAGCUGUAAGUAGAUGCUGAGUCAGGGGGUGUGACGUGGUCCCUGGUCAGUGGCAAAGCCUAGUUUGUUUCUGGGGUCAUGAUCACCAGGAGACACCAAAAGGAAGGGACGGGACAUAAGAAUUCACUCGGCUGGCUGAUUGCCAAUCUGCUAAUUAUAACCCAUAAAAGAAAUCUUUCUGAGACUGGGGUCUUCUCAAGUGGACUGGUUUGUCCUAAGUUAUUUUUCCUGCAAAUGCUACUGUUCAUUCAUUGGUUCCACAGCUUCCGUUUGUCAAAAAGGCACAGAGAGACAGAUGGUCACAAAUGCAUCUGGACUGCACAGUCCUCUGCUGCAGGCUAAUGUGCUCACUCUGACCUAAGUUUUGCAAUUUCAGUGAAAAGAGCACUCUUCACUGGGUUUGCCCUCUUCAUUCUACAACAUGAGAUAGAAUAUUUUUUCAUAAAGCAAGUUGAAGAAUCCACAUUUUUUUCUGAUUAUAACUAAUACUGGUCCAACUGAACAUUAUUGAAGGGAUUAAAAUAAGCAUCUGGUGGCUUCAAAAGGCUGUGGGAUUUUUAAAAAUUAUUUCUUAAGAAGUUUUCACAGCAAAGAUUCAACUCUGAUUGCUGUACAUAUGUUGUUCAUAGGCAGUGCUUGCUUGUUCAGACUUGUUUCCCUUGUGUUACAAUACUGAUAUUUAUUAAUAAACUACAUAGACUUUUAUCUGUAUGCAUCCAUUCGCAAAUUUCCUUAUAAAAGAGGACAAAGCACAUAGGCAUUCACAAAUUCUAUGCCAUUUCUGUUAAAAUUGGUAUCUAUACCUUAUAUUGCAGUAUUAACAAAGUUUUGUUCUACCCAUUGGGUAGGAUAUGUGCGUAAUAUAGUCAAGUUAUAUACAGCACCUUACAAAUGAACGCCUGACAGACACUGAAAGCACCAUUGUGAGUGAGGCACAACAAAGGGGGCUGGGUUCCUGCAUCUGCUGAAGUUAGAACAUGAGACACCUUGGCCGCUUAAAAACUACUGCCACGCUGAGCGCUGUGAAAGGACGUGGAUCUUCAUCAUCUGCAUCUCUGUACAGCUCUCACCCCAGCACCUCACACACACUGAGGACAGCGCUGCUCACAAGGCAUCCCUCCCCGCGCGCCAGCCUGAAGGCAGGAGCAGCAAGUGGCCGUCUAACCCUGGCCGUGAACAUAAACUUGAACUGUGCAAGAUGCAGCACUUGGGGAGUAAAAUAAGCUAAGCUGAAAUCCUGAUUCCUGUGGAAUUCGCACAAUUCAGGUGAGCCGCUGGGACCCAUUUGUGGUCGGGGUGAGAGCAGGUCUUUCAUCUGCUUUUGUUGGGCCCCUUUAGACACAGCGUCCUCACACUGGGGAGGACUUGCCAAUGCAUCUCCAUUUCGCCAAGGCCAUGGUAACCAAGGUGACCAUGCAGAAGGGGAGCCUGGUCCCUGCUUCUCCACCAAGGUGGUGGGGGGGGAGCUGUCACCGCAAGGCCCUGCGCCCAGCACAAGUAUCUUUCCCAGUUUUUCCUUCACAGACACUGCUCAGCUCUGGAAAUUUUAAGAAAAAUGAAUGGUACACUAACAUGUUGCUGUUCUAAGCAGCAGACCUCAAGCAGCAGCCUUGGCACAGCAAACACAAGGCUUGGGGAGCAGCCCCUAGCCGCUGCCUCGCAGCCAGACCAGUGUGGGAACCUGGUGGCCAACAGCAAAUGGAAGCUGCUUUGGAGGGGCUCGUGGACCUGGACAGUCUCUGCAAGGACUCUCUGGACAAAAGAGCAGGUGGAGAGAUUGACUACUUGUGUGGAUGUUACUAUGUGAAAUGGAUGAAGAUUCCAAUCCUCCAAACAAAACCCAGGGACCUACCAACCAAGAGGAGCCUCGGAAAGGAGCAGCAGAAAGCAGUUUGAGAGCUUUCUGCCAGCAGCACGAGGGCACCUCACCGGGCAGCCACCUCCGAGACCAUGACAGCAGACAUCCAGAACUGCAGAAACUGCACUGCUGGAGGACCAGGGCAGCACUGCGUGGUGUGUAAAUGCAGGUGUGAAACACGCAGCCUGAGGCUGGAGGGACUCAACACACCAGGGAUGCAGGAGUUUCCUCUGCUCCAUCCAGAGUCUCCAGGUGCCUCAGUGACGCAUUCACUGCUGUGUGGUGACUUUCUUGGUGAAUGUAAGUAAGUGGCGUAUGUUAGGCUACCUCCCCAGACACCCUUUCCUGCAUGAUUAUGGGGGAGAUUAUUAUGAGGCCUAAUUAUAAUCCACAGGUGAAAAGACAACAUACAGAACUUCGCGUAAAGCUUCCUCAUUAUCUUAAACAUGAAGAUAGUGCAACUUUUAAAACACAGCAUCACAACACUGAUUAACCCCUUGCAUUCAUCUGACUUCUCCACUUUAUACCUUGGCACACAAAACAGGAAUUUAGAAUCAUAUUUUUAAAACAAAAGUUCCACAGGUUGGGGGUGGGAAGCAAACUGGUGAUUCUUCCCCAUAAUGUAUAAUGUUUUUCUCUGUAUUCAGUUAAUUGUAAAACAGGCCAUUCUGGCCUCUUCCCCUGCUGCGUCUGCUUUCAUAAUCAAGUCAGAUGCCUCUGUGGGUUUUAUUUCAUGAUGUCUUCAAAGCAACCCUUUGUGUUCUCAUGCCCACCCUUUGCCAAAACCUGCCCUUUCCCAUCACUGCCCCAGAUGAACACCGUUUGCGGCCAGACUGAAGGAGGUUUGUACUAUUUCAGCCUGCGUGCGGCUCCUGUGGAAGGAAUCAUUCUGUUUUACUGAACUUGCUGUGCUGGGGACGGAGGGGCAGUGCCACCGCCUCCCUCCUCUUUUCUUAAGUCAGGUAUGCACGCAGGUCAGACGAGGUUCCCGGGCUUCCUGUCCUUGCCCUGGACGGGCAGCUCGGUGCCCCGCAGGGCCGUCCCGCUGGAGUGGCAGUCUGCUCCCCCUGUGCGUGCUGCUGUGCUGGGGGUGGAAGAGAGUGGCGCCCGGGCAGUGGCCCAUCACCUCGCUGUAGGCCGGGGGUGGCCCCUCCAUCCUCCUGUUACUGCUGCAGGUGCUGGCACUUAUGCCCGAAUUGCUGCUGGGUGGGCGUGGGCCCCCGCUGAAGACAGACACAUCUAUCAAAUCGCUGUCAAAUAUGGUUCGGUUGGGCGGGGCCCUCACAGACUCUCGGUUGAGUUCCAUCUGCUGUUCGGGGUCCCGGAGCUGCAGGGUGCAGGGCCCCUGGUAAGGAGGCGGCUCCUCCCCGUCCGACAGGGAGAUGGUGGGGGGAAGGUCGAUCUCGUGCUGCACAUAGGGGUAGGUGGGCUGGAAGCGGCUGAACCGAUCCCUCUGGAGAAAGGUUGGGGCAGUCCCCCCAUCCCUGGACCGUGGGGCGUACAUGAUCUGCAGGGAAAAGAGCAACACCUGGGAGAUGUUCUUGGCACGGUGAUGACCACGGACGUGAUGGCAGCAAGGAAAUUCACGUCUGUUCUCACCCAUCUGAAAACUUUUCCCCCCCAAAAACAUGUAAAGGCUAUUCCAGGAAAACAGAGGUUUUUUGUUCCUAAUGACUUACAUCACUCACCUUGCCAAACCCAGGAUGGUUCAGCAACGGAUAAUUGCGGUUACCUGAAAAUGUAGGUUUAAUGGAGUUAUUGUGUGUACAUUUCCCACUGGGUCAAGGAGAAUACAGGAGCCCCCCACCCCAAGCCUGCCCACCAUGUGACCUUCUCCGGGCCCCACUCCUGUGAUUCAGAGGAGUGUAGAGUGUGCAGAAUUUUCAUUGUAAAUGUAAGUUGUAACUUCACAGGAUGGUACUUGGAGCAGGUGCAAGACAUUGGGUCAAUUUAUGAGUUAUUUAUAGGAGCUUGUUGCCCUAUCAAUUACUUACAAAUAUGGAACAAGUGACUUUUUUUCUUUCUGGAUAAAAGUUUCCUGUAGUUAUUUUUAGCAACUGACAUGAAAACUAUUUUAUAUUCCAAAGUAAGUAUGAUUAUAGAUAUUUUUCCCCCCAAAAGAAUCCAGGUACUCUUAUUUCUUGCAUAACUAACUUCUCAUCUAUUCCACCAUCUCACUUUCUUCUAGAGGAAGGACAUAUGUAUAUAAAGAUAUACGUCCAUCUGUCUGUCAACUUCUCUCACACCAUGUUUUUAACUUAAAAGCAAAAAAACGUUAUCUUUACAAUCAUACUAAUAAACUGGGAGAUGGGAUGAAUCAAGCGGUGAUGUUUAUAAGCUAUGCUGACACCCACCACCUCAUUAUCAUCAGCAGCUUAAGGCAUCAAGUGAAGAUCCUGGAUUCUCGACCUGUUUUCUGGAAGGAGCUCUGGCCAGGCACAAAGAAUCCUUGGGAGAGUCUAGGGAAGACCCCUCCCCCACCUCUUAAACCAAGUUAUAGGCACAGGCCUUGAUCUUCGUCUGUGCUGACACGUUCAACCCUUCCACCAAUUUUGUUCAUCCCCCUCUACGCAUCUCCUGCCACCCACACCCCGCCUGUGUCCAACCCCUUACCUCCGAGGCGGGCCGAGGUCCAGAUCUGUCUGAAGGCCACAGGCGCCCUUCCUGGUUGGGGGGUGGGGGACAUCACAGGAAGAUCAUUAGUUUCAUGCAGCAGCACCCAAAGCCAAGGGAUCACACUCAGAUGAGGGCAGGCUAUUUAACACCCGGAACCACAAAGCCCCAGCCUUUUGUUACCUGCACCCCCAGAGGAGUCGUGGCCACAGGAAAGUCAAACAGUUCGGGUCUCCCCACAGUAGCCUUGAACGGUGUGCCCAUCCACACCGGUUGGCUUUCAGACUGAGUUUCCCAAAUCUAAGAGCCCUCUGUGCAUCUUCUCAUGAAUUGAUUCCUCAGUACAAAUGCUCACGAGGAGUGUGGAACCUGACAUCUAGUGGCUUAGUAAUCUUCUUUCAAAAAUGUUUGGCCAGGAACUUUCCUGGUGGUGCAGUUGGUUAAGACUCCACGCUCCCAUUGCAGGGGGCCUGGGUUCAAUGCCUGGUCAGGGAACUAGAUCCCACGUGCAUGCCACAGCUAAGAGUUCGCAUGCCGCAACUAAGAAGCUGACGAGCCACAACUAAGACCCAGCGCAACCAAAAAAAAAGGCCAGACCGACAAGGUGACAAGGAAACAGUAGGCAUGAUUAAGGGUCACUUCUAACACCAUAAACUUGUCUACAGAGCAUUUCAGUGUGGUAUCCCUUUUGAACCCAAAUUGUUGGCUAUAGCAGGGUCUGCGGGGCUUUUGUGACUAGUAA
This is a long non-coding RNA of Balaenoptera ricei (Rice's whale), 6863 nucleotides long. RefSeq lists it as uncharacterized. The record is from RefSeq and is a predicted model, not a curated record. The transcript is spliced from 3 exons. NCBI's taxonomy places the organism in Eukaryota, Metazoa, Chordata, Mammalia, Artiodactyla, Balaenopteridae.